UACAGAGGGUGCAAGCGUUGUUCGGAAUUAUUGGGCGUAAAGGGUGCGUAGGCGGUGCGGUAAGUCUGCUGUGAAAUCUCCGGGCUCAACUCGGAGUCUGCAACGGAAACUGCCGUGCUUGAGUGUGGGAGAGGCGCGUGGAAUUGCAGGUGUAGCGGUGAAAUGCGUAGAUAUCUGCAGGAACACCCGUGGCGAAAGCGGCGCGCUGGACCACUACUGACGCUGAGGAACGAAAGCUAGGGGAGCAAACAGG
Molecule: ribosomal RNA, 253 nt
Filed under: uncultured bacterium
Lineage: Bacteria
Description: partial 16S ribosomal RNA
Rfam family: Bacterial small subunit ribosomal RNA
Source: RNAcentral